RNAcentral lists this unclassified non-coding RNA (187 nucleotides) under Glomeraceae sp. RNAcentral's name for it is "partial contains 5.8S ribosomal RNA and internal transcribed spacer 2". The stretch from base 1 to 65 matches the Rfam family "5.8S ribosomal RNA", at positions 84 to 154 of the family's 154-position model. The record is from RNAcentral. Lineage: Eukaryota; Fungi; Glomeromycota; Glomeromycetes; Glomerales; Glomeraceae.
GUGAAUCAUCGAAUCUUUGAACGCAAAUUGCACUCUCCUCGGAGAGUAGGCCUGUUUGAGGUUCAGCCUAUAAAAAAUCGACAUCGUUUCUGUUUCGUGGUGGUGUUCGUCGGAAGUUGGGUCAUCUUAAAUCUUUUGGGUUUAAGCGACUUAAAAUUUUCUUUUUGGGUCCGUGAACGUUUCCAAU